AGAGUUUGAUCCUGGCUCAGGACGAACGCUGGCGGCGUGCUUAACACAUGCAAGUCAGGGGGCCCGCAAGGGUCACCGGCGAACGGGUGCGUAACACGUGAACAACCUGCCCGAGCGAGGGGGAUAGCCGGCCCAACGGCCGGGUAAUACCGCAUAUGCUCACAGCGUCUUAUGGCGCAGUGAGGAAACCUUCGGGGCGCUCGGAGGGGUUCGCGACCUAUCAGCUAGUUGGUGAGGUAACGGCCCACCAAGGCGACGACGGGUAGCUGGUCUGAGAGGAUGGCCAGCCACAUUGGGACUGCGACACGGCCCAGACUCCUACGGGAGGCAGCAGUGGGGAAUAUUGCGCAAUGGUCGAAAGACUGACGCAGCGACGCCGCGUGGAGGAUGACGCCCUUCGGGGUGUAAACUCCUGUUGCUCGGGACGAACCGUGGAAUUCAUUCCACCUGACGGUACCGAGUGAGGAAGCACCGGCUAACUCUGUGCCAGCAGCCGCGGUAAUACAGAGGGUGCGAGCGUUGUCCGGAAUCACUGGGCGUAAAGGGCGCGUAGGCGGUUUGACAAGCGUGCGGUGAAAGCUCGGGGCUCAACCCCGAGUCGGCCGUGCGAACUGUCGGACUUGAGCACAGUAGAGGCAGAUGGAAUUCCGGGUGUAGCGGUGGAAUGCGUAGAGAUCCGGAAGAACACCGGUGGCGAAGGCGGUCUGCUGGGCUGUGGCUGACGCUGAUGCGCGACAGCGUGGGGAGCAAACAGGAUUAGAUACCCUGGUAGUCCACGCCGUAAACGAUGGGCACUAG
RNAcentral lists this ribosomal RNA (798 nucleotides) under uncultured bacterium. RNAcentral describes it as "bacterial SSU rRNA". It matches the Rfam family "Bacterial small subunit ribosomal RNA", at positions 8 to 819 of the family's 1533-position model. The record is from RNAcentral.